This 405-nucleotide unclassified non-coding RNA is filed under the name soil metagenome. RNAcentral's name for it is "partial contains 5.8S ribosomal RNA, internal transcribed spacer 2, and large subunit ribosomal RNA". The stretch from base 1 to 122 matches the Rfam family "5.8S ribosomal RNA", at positions 35 to 154 of the family's 154-position model. The record is from RNAcentral.
GAUGAAGAACGUAGCAAAAUGCGAUACUUGGUGUGAAUUGCAGAAUCCCGUGAACCAUCGAGUUUUUGAACGCAAGUUGCGCCCGAAGCCUUUUGGCCGAGGGCACGUCUGCCUGGGCGUCACGCAUCGCGUCGCCCCCCACAAAUUCUCGGUCAGGGGAGCUUGUGUUUCGGGGGCGGAUACUGGUCUCCCGUGCUCAUGGCGCGGUUGGCCGAAAUAGGAGUCCCUUCGAUGGACGCACGAACUAGUGGUGGUCGUAAAAACCCUCGUCUUUUGUUUCGUGCCGUUAGUCGCGAGGGAAGCUCUUCAAAAACCCCAGCGCGUCGUCUCUUGACGGCGCUUCGACCGCGACCCCAGGUCAGGCGGGACUACCCGCUGAGUUUAAGCAUAUCAAUAAGCGGAGGA